GUGUAUGUGGUGUAAUUAAACACGUUAGCUUUUCAUGCUAAAGAUAUAUUCAAUAUCAUGCACA
Molecule: transfer RNA, 64 nt
Filed under: Aporrectodea rosea
Lineage: Eukaryota; Metazoa; Annelida; Clitellata; Crassiclitellata; Lumbricidae
Description: tRNA-Glu
Rfam family: tRNA
About the family: Transfer RNA (tRNA) molecules are approximately 80 nucleotides in length. Their secondary structure includes four short double-helical elements and three loops (D, anti-codon, and T loops).
Source: RNAcentral